UGAAACACCCAACGACUGCCAUGUAUGAAGAACUUGUAAUUCCUUCCGCAUACUAGAAAGAAAACUAUCAUUGGACUGAGUAAGAUUUUAUGAAUGAAAAUAAAAUUUUAAUUCUGCUCAGAAGAAUUAGUGAAAAAGGAAGGAUGAUUUGUUUGGUUAUGGCAAAGCUCACGAGGGCUAUCUAUCUAACAGGACGAAUGUCUUUGCGGAAAGCAUUUAUGAGGAAAAGUGACUCGUAUCUACAUUACAAAUAAGAAAAACCAUGAAAAUGCUCGUAUAGUGAGCCCCUUCGCCGGGAUUUGAACCCAAGUCGAACAACCAAUGCUCAGCGAUUUAACCGCUCGGCUGAUGGUGAAUCCUUUCAGGAAAGUUCUUUAACAAAGAAGGCAACUGAAAAUAUCUAAGGGAAAAUUAUUGAACUCAUUGUUACUUCACGGCUUAUUUCUAAUAACGUCUUUGCAUGGCUACUCGAAGAAAGAAACGAAAACUUUGAUACUUCGAUGCACAAUUACGACGGACGGCCUGUUAAGCGAAAAGUACCAAAAUUUUAAAUCUUAGGAGAAGGUUCUUCCAGGUUUCGCAUGGAAAGGUUCUUAAAUUUCUCUGACACAGGUAGAUCAUCAUCCUUCGUUCACGAGACGACUAAGACAUUUAUAUUAAAUAAAAUAGUUUUAAAUCUAG
Molecule: long non-coding RNA, 681 nt
Organism: Stegodyphus dumicola
Lineage: Eukaryota; Metazoa; Arthropoda; Arachnida; Araneae; Eresidae
Source: RefSeq, a predicted model, not a curated record